Molecule: long non-coding RNA, 418 nt
Organism: Rhododendron vialii
Lineage: Eukaryota; Viridiplantae; Streptophyta; Magnoliopsida; Ericales; Ericaceae
Exons: 3
Source: RefSeq, a predicted model, not a curated record
GCACCAUAUUCUGAACAAGUGGCCAGUGUGAAUUCAAAUCACAAUAAGUCUGCAUCCUAUUCUGGACAAGUGGCCAGUGUCAAUUCAAAUCACAAUAAGUCUGCACUCUAUUAUGGACAAGUAGCCAGUGUCAAGUCAAAUGUCAGCGCCUUUAAAAUGGAUUACAGGACUAUAACGAGAUAACACAUAUACAAUCCAGUACUCAAAUACGAUCAAACAAACAGCCCAAGGCAAAGAUUGUUAAACUUCAUUAUGGGACGAUUAGAAUCACCGAAAAGGGCAGCGCUGCAAAACAACCCAACUUCAUACACCACAGCCUUAUGGUCCCAACCGGGGCGAAUUACCAAAGCAACAUCAAAUUGACCGCAGAGUGGCUUCGCGCCACCGGUCCAUCGCAACUACUCAAAGCAAUCAAAUU